RNAcentral lists this ribosomal RNA (164 nucleotides) under uncultured bacterium. Its description in RNAcentral is "partial 16S ribosomal RNA". It matches the Rfam family "Bacterial small subunit ribosomal RNA", at positions 355 to 511 of the family's 1533-position model. The record is from RNAcentral.
UAGGGAAUCUUCCACAAUGGACGAAAGUCUGAUGGAGCAACACCGCGUGAGUGAAGAAGGGUUUCGGCUCGUAAAACACUGUUGUAAGAGAAGAAUGACAUUGAGAGUAACUGUUCAAUGUGUGACGGUAUCUUACCAGAAAGGAACGGCUAAAUACGUGCCAG